AAACCAUGAUUGGGACACUUCCUGAGCAAAGCUUUAUAUCUCUCCCAUGCCUCACACAAGGGUUCAUCAAUUCCUUGCACAAAUGUAGCAAUAGCGGCCUUGGCUU
This is a non-coding RNA of Cajanus cajan (pigeon pea), 106 nucleotides long. The record is from Rfam. Lineage: Eukaryota; Viridiplantae; Streptophyta; Magnoliopsida; Fabales; Fabaceae.